This 48-nucleotide non-coding RNA is filed under the name Trichobilharzia regenti. The record is from RNAcentral. Lineage: Eukaryota; Metazoa; Platyhelminthes; Trematoda; Strigeidida; Schistosomatidae.
AUCCAGCUGACGAGUUGUCUUAAAUAGGACGAAAUACGCGUCCUGGAU